RNAcentral lists this ribosomal RNA (867 nucleotides) under epibiont metagenome. Its description in RNAcentral is "bacterial SSU rRNA". The stretch from base 221 to 867 matches the Rfam family "Bacterial small subunit ribosomal RNA", at positions 874 to 1520 of the family's 1533-position model. The record is from RNAcentral.
UUUCUGGGGAUCCAAAGCAGAGGCGCUAUUUUCGGGACACCGGCACAACCCUGUGAAACGCCAAAACCUGUGGGGGACCAUAACCCGCGAUAUGGAGUACCCCCGGGUGAGUCCCCACGCCCUUAAACGCGGUGGAAAAUUUAAUCCGUUGGGAGAUGUGCCUAGCCCCAUCUUUUCAAGUGGAAGCCAAGUCUAAACGCCCUAUGAAACGAUUCCCGCCUGGGAUUACCGCCCCAAGGUUAAACUUCAAAGGGAUUAGGCCGGGGACCCGCACAAGUGUGGGAGCAUGUGGUUUAAUUCGAAGAUACGCGAAGAACCUUACCUGGGCCCUUGACAUAUACCAGAAUCUACCAGAGAUGGUGGAGUGCCUUCGGGGAAGCUGGUAUACAGGUGCUGCACGGGCUGUCGUCAGCUCGUGUCGUGAGAUGUUGGGUUAAGUCCCGCAACGAGCGCAACCCUCGUGACUAGUUACUAACAGCAUAGGCUGAGGACUCUAGUCAGACUGCCUUCGUAAGGAGGAGGAAGGUGAGGACGACGUCAAGUCAUCAUGGCCCUUACGGCCAGGGCGACACACGUGCUACAAUGGGAAGGACAAAGAGAAGCAAAACUGUGAGGUGGAGCAAAUCUAUAAACCUUUUCUCAGUUCGGAUUGCAGUCUGCAACUCGACUGCAUGAAGCUGGAAUCACUAGUAAUCGUGAAUCAGCCAUGUCACGGUGAAUACGUUCCCGGGUCUUGUACUCACCGCCCGUCACACCAUGGGAGUUGAUUUCACCCGAAGCGGGGAUGCUAAAUAGGCUACCCGCCACGGUGGAAUUAGCGACUGGGGUGAAGUCGUAACAAGGUAACCGUAGGAGAACCUGCGGUUG